Molecule: long non-coding RNA, 294 nt
Filed under: Brassica napus (rape)
Lineage: Eukaryota; Viridiplantae; Streptophyta; Magnoliopsida; Brassicales; Brassicaceae
Description: long non-coding RNA (BNAP_LNC016181)
Source: RNAcentral
GUCAAGAAUUCUGCAUCGAUCGACAUACGUUCCUCUUCUUGACAGCUCCCUCUCGCGAGGCAGACUGACCACUUUUCAGUACAACGGGCAUAACUUCUGCUACAGGAUGCUGAUUGGCCUUAAACUGGUGGCGUUGGAAAGGUAACGCAAAGCUAUAUCUUGUGUCCAAAGAUAAGCCCAAUCUAAUGGUGGGAAGGUCUCCAUAUAUAGCUAAACAUCUGAUGCGUCUGUGCAGUUCUUCACCUCAAAAUACUCCAAAAUCACCAUAUUUCUCCAAAACGUACCUGAACCUGU